This 241-nucleotide unclassified non-coding RNA is filed under the name Hevea brasiliensis (rubber tree). Lineage: Eukaryota; Viridiplantae; Streptophyta; Magnoliopsida; Malpighiales; Euphorbiaceae. The record is from RNAcentral.
GGAAAGAACUCAACUCAUCAUACUAAUAGUAAUUCAUUUUUCUCACAAAUACUGCAGCGAAAAAAUCUUCAUUGGGAAAUAAUUGUUAAGGAAAAACACAACAGAAAGCAUCACUUAACGAAUCACACUUUUAAGUUAGGCUCACCAUCUCGUCAUGACCUGCACGGUGUUCCAAUAUAGAGUUGAGCACAAACAAGGAUGAGAACAAGAUAGUAGCUCUCUGUUCCGACUUUCACACAAG